CUACGGGGGGCUCCAGUGGGGAAUCUUAGACAAUGGGGGAAACCCUGAUCUAGCCAUGCCGCGUGAGUGACGAAGGCCUUAGGGUCGUAAAGCUCUUUCGCUGGGGAAGAUAAUGACUGUACCCAGUAAAGAAACCCCGGCUAACUCCGUGCCAGCAGCCGCGGUAAUACGGAGGGGGUUAGCGUUGUUCGGAAUUACUGGGCGUAAAGCGCGCGUAGGCGGACUGGAAAGUUGGGGGUGAAAUCCCGGGGCUCAACCCCGGAGCGGCCUCCAAAACUAUCAGUCUAGAGUUCGAGAGAGGUGAGUGGAAUUCCGAGUGUAGAGGUGAAAUUCGUAGAUAUUCGGAGGAACACCAGUGGCGAAGGCGGCUCACUGGCUCGAUACUGACGCUGAGGUGCGAAAGCGUGGGGAGCAAACAGGAUUAGAUACCCGGGUAGUC
Molecule: ribosomal RNA, 439 nt
Filed under: uncultured bacterium
Lineage: Bacteria
Description: partial 16S ribosomal RNA
Rfam family: Bacterial small subunit ribosomal RNA
Source: RNAcentral